CUCCCAUCCCCUUAGCUUUUCUGUAAUUUGAUGUUUCUACUUCCCCAUUCAGAUGUGGGGCCCAGUUCCUCCUCCCCUGACUCUGGGCUGGCCAGGAUGACUCGCUUGUAACCAACGGAAUACGGUGGAAGGGACACUGCCCGAGUCAGGCCAGGCCGGAGGCUAUGCAGAUCCGCCUGGCUCUCAUGGGACACCAGCUCUCUGGACACUCUAUCCCGGGAACCCCCCUCUCCAGAUGCUGCCGCCGUGCCGUGGGAAGCCCGAGCCGUGUGAGAGGCCACGUGGAGGUUCUGGUGACAGGCACAGCGGAGCCGGCCCGCUGAGUCCCUCAGCCCAGGACCCGACAUACAGGGAGGUGGCCAGGAGGCCCCACGUCACAGAGUCCUCGCGUGGGAUCAGUGAAACCCCACGUUUAAAGAUGUUGGCAGAGUCCCGCCCAUGCGAUGUGCUCAGCCAUCACCAUCGCCAGGUGCCUCUGUGCAGUGCACAACCUGCUCAAGGGGAUGGAGCUGGAGACCCACCAGGAGGUUCGGCGUUGGUCUGUGGUCAGCGGGGAUUUGGACUGAGUCAAGGAGCCCCGCAAAGGUCCCUGAAGCUGACCAGCGCCCGGCGGAGCAGCAGCGCCAGGGGAGCCAAACCGCUGACCCGGGCUUUUCCCUUUCCACCCAAAUCUUGCUCCCCUGCGCCCUCUGCAGGCCGACGGGGAAGCCACACGUUGAGGUCGAUUUAGACGCGUUUCUGGGUCGAGGAUCCCACUGGUUCUCAACCGUCUGGGCGGAACGGCAGCAUCUCCUGGGGAGUGAGUCCUGAAUCCCAC
RNAcentral lists this long non-coding RNA (817 nucleotides) under Equus caballus (horse). RNAcentral describes it as "lncRNA (ENSECAG00000034327.3)". Lineage: Eukaryota; Metazoa; Chordata; Mammalia; Perissodactyla; Equidae. The record is from RNAcentral.